CUCUAUGGCCAUGCCACCCUGAACAAGCCCGAUUCCGUCUGAUCUCGGAAGCUAAGCAGGGUCGGGCCUGGCCAGUACUUGGAUGGGAGACCACCUAGGAAGACAGGUGCUGUAGGCG
RNAcentral lists this ribosomal RNA (118 nucleotides) under Pteropus alecto (black flying fox). The record is from RNAcentral. Lineage: Eukaryota; Metazoa; Chordata; Mammalia; Chiroptera; Pteropodidae.